This 2543-nucleotide ribosomal RNA is filed under the name Salmonella enterica subsp. enterica serovar Typhimurium. RNAcentral describes it as "partial 23S ribosomal RNA". It matches the Rfam family "Bacterial large subunit ribosomal RNA". The record is from RNAcentral. Lineage: Bacteria; Pseudomonadati; Pseudomonadota; Gammaproteobacteria; Enterobacterales; Enterobacteriaceae.
GCCAGUGGUGAACUCCACAUCCGCAUCCUUUGCUGAGGAUACGGUUAACGGAGCGAAAGCGACGUUCAACCGCAAAACAAGCAGAGGGGGCUUAGUGGUGGGGUGACUGCGUACCUUUUGUAUAAUGGGUCAGCGACUUAUAUUCUGUAGCAAGGUUAACCGAAUAGGGGAGCCGGAGGGAAACCGAGUCUUAAUUGGGCGUUAAGUUGCAGGGUAUAGACCCGAAACCCGGUGAUCUAGCCAUGGGCAGGUUGAAGGUUGGGUAACACUAACUGGAGGACCGAACCGACUAAUGUUGAAAAAUUAGCGGAUGACCUGUGGCUGGGGGUGAAAGGCCAAUCAAACCGGGAGAUAGCUGGUUCUCCCCGAAAGCUAUUUAGGUAGCGCCUCGUGAAUUCAUCUCCGGGGGUAGAGCACUGUUUCGGCUAGGGGGCCAUCCCGGCUUACCAACCCGAUGCAAACUGCGAAUACCGGAGAAUGUUAUCACGGGAGACACACGGCGGGUGCUAACGUCCGUCGUGAAGAGGGAAACAACCCAGACCGCCAGCUAAGGUCCCAAAGUCAUGGUUAAGUGGGAAACGAUGUGGGAAGGCCCAGACAGCCAGGAUGUUGGCUUAGAAGCAGCCAUCAUUUAAAGAAAGCGUAAUAGCUCACUGGUCGAGUCGGCCUGCGCGGAAGAUGUAACGGGGCUAAACCAUGCACCGAAGCUGCGGCAGCGAACGUAUCACCCAAGACAACUUUACGGAGUUGACGAUUGACGGAGCGAAGCGACGUCAAAGCGUUCAUUAAAGUCGAGUUGGCUUAGGGAUACGUUCGUUGGGUAGGGGAGCGUUCUGUAAGCCUGUGAAGGUGUGUCGUGAGGCAUGCUGGAGGUAUCAGAAGUGCGAAUGCUGACAUAAGUAACGAUAAAGCGGGUGAAAAGCCCGCUCGCCGGAAGACCAAGGGUUCCUGUCCAACGUUAAUCGGGGCAGGGUGAGUCGACCCCUAAGGCGAGGCCGAAAGGCGUAGUCGAUGGGAAACGGGUUAAUAUUCCCGUACUUGGUGUUACUGCGAAGGGGGGACGGAGAAGGCUAUGUUGGCCGGGCGACGGUUGUCCCGGUUUAAGCGUGUAGGUGUGUGUUCCAGGUAAAUCCGGUUCACUUUAACACUGAGGCGUGACGACGAGGCACUACGGUGCUGAAGCAACAAAUGCCCUGCUUCCAGGAAAAGCCUCUAAGCAUCAGGUAACAUCAAAUCGUACCCCAAACCGACACAGGUGGUCAGGUAGAGAAUACCAAGGCGCUUGAGAGAACUCGGGUGAAGGAACUAGGCAAAAUGGUGCCGUAACUUCGGGAGAAGGCACGCUGACACGUAGGUGAAGUGAUUUACUCAUGGAGCUGAAGUCAGUCGAAGAUACCAGCUGGCUGCAACUGUUUAUUAAAAACACAGCACUGUGCAAACACGAAAGUGGACGUAUACGGUGUGACGCCUGCCCGGUGCCGGAAGGUUAAUUGAUGGGGUCAGCGCAAGCGAAGCUCCUGAUCGAAGCCCCGGUAAACGGCGGCCGUAACUAUAACGGUCCUAAGGUAGCGAAAUUCCUUGUCGGGUAAGUUCCGACCUGCACGAAUGGCGUAAUGAUGGCCAGGCUGUCUCCACCCGAGACUCAGUGAAAUUGAACUCGCUGUGAAGAUGCAGUGUACCCGCGGCAAGACGGAAAGACCCCGUGAACCUUUACUAUAGCUUGACACUGAACAUUGAGCCUUGAUGUGUAGGAUAGGUGGGAGGCUUUGAAGUGUGGACGCCAGUCUGCAUGGAGCCGACCUUGAAAUACCACCCUUUAAUGUUUGAUGUUCUAACGUGGACCCGUAAUCCGGGUUGCGGACAGUGUCUGGUGGGUAGUUUGACUGGGGCGGUCUCCUCCUAAAGAGUAACGGAGGAGCACGAAGGUUGGCUAAUCCUGGUCGGACAUCAGGAGGUUAGUGCAAUGGCAUAAGCCAGCUUGACUGCGAGCGUGACGGCGCGAGCAGGUGCGAAAGCAGGUCAUAGUGAUCCGGUGGUUCUGAAUGGAAGGGCCAUCGCUCAACGGAUAAAAGGUACUCCGGGGAUAACAGGCUGAUACCGCCCAAGAGUUCAUAUCGACGGCGGUGUUUGGCACCUCGAUGUCGGCUCAUCACAUCCUGGGGCUGAAGUAGGUCCCAAGGGUAUGGCUGUUCGCCAUUUAAAGUGGUACGCGAGCUGGGUUUAGAACGUCGUGAGACAGUUCGGUCCCUAUCUGCCGUGGGCGCUGGAGAACUGAGGGGGGCUGCUCCUAGUACGAGAGGACCGGAGUGGACGCAUCACUGGUGUUCGGGUUGUCAUGCCAAUGGCACUGCCCGGUAGCUAAAUGCGGAAGAGAUAAGUGCUGAAAGCAUCUAAGCACGAAACUUGCCCCGAGAUGAGUUCUCCCUGAGACUUAGAGUCUCCUGAAGGAACGUUGAAGACGACGACGUUGAUAGGCCGGGUGUGUAAGCGCAGCGAUGCGUUGAGCUAACCGGUACUAAUGAACCGUGAGGCUUAACCUUACA